Molecule: ribosomal RNA, 301 nt
Filed under: uncultured bacterium
Lineage: Bacteria
Description: partial 16S ribosomal RNA
Rfam family: Bacterial small subunit ribosomal RNA
Source: RNAcentral
CAGUCGCCACGGUAAUACGAGGGGGGCAAGCGUUGUUCGGGAAUAUUGGGCGUAAAGGGCGCGUAGGCGGUUUGGCAAGUUUCGUGUGAAAUCUUCGGGCUCAACUCGAAGUCUGCACGGAAAACUGCCGGGCUUGAGUAUGGGAGAGGUGAGUGGAAUUUCCGGUGUAGCGGUGAAAUGCGUAGAUAUCGGAAGGAACACCUGUGGCGAAAGCGGCUCACUGGACCAUAACUGACGCUGAGGCGCGAAAGCUAGGGGAGCAAACAGGAUUAGAUACCCGAGUAGUCCCUGUCUCUUAUAA